This 387-nucleotide ribosomal RNA is filed under the name uncultured bacterium. RNAcentral describes it as "bacterial SSU rRNA". It matches the Rfam family "Bacterial small subunit ribosomal RNA", at positions 28 to 419 of the family's 1533-position model. The record is from RNAcentral.
GAUGAACGCUAGCGGGAGGCCUAACACAUGCAAGCCGAGCGGUAUUGUUUCUUCGGAAAUGAGAGAGCGGCGUACGGGUGCGGAACACGUGUGCAACCUGCCUUUAUCUGGGGGAUAGCCUUUCGAAAGGAAGAUUAAUACUCCAUAAUAUAUUGAACGGCAUCGUUUAAUAUUGAAAGCUCCGGCGGAUAGAGAUGGGCACGCGCAAGAUUAGCUAGUUGGUGAGGUAACGGCUCACCAAGGCAAUGAUCUUUAGGGGCCUGAGAGGUGAUCCCCACACUGGGUACUGAGACACGGACCAGACUCCUACGGGAGGCAGCAGUGAGGAAUAUUGGUCAAUGGGUGCAAGCCUGAACCAGCCAUCCCGCGUGAAGGCGACUGCCCUAU